AGAGUUUGAUCAUGGCUCAGGACGAACGCUGGCGGCGUGCCUAAUACAUGCAAGUCGAACGCUUCUUUUCCCACCGGAGCUUGCUCCACCGGGAAAAGAGGAGUGGCGAACGGGUGAGUAACACGUGGGUAACCUGCCCAUCAGAAGGGGAUAACACUUGGAAACAGGUGCUAAUACCGUAUAACAAUCGAAACCGCAUGGUUUCGUUUUGAAAGGCGCUUUACGGUGCCGCUGAUGGAUGGACCCGCGGUGCAUUAGCUAGUUGGUGAGGUAACGGCUCACCAAGGCCACGAUGCAUAGCCGACCUGAGAGGGUGAUCGGCCACAUUGGGACUGAGACACGGCCCAAACUCCUACGGGAGGCAGCAGUAGGGAAUCUUCGGCAAUGGACGAAAGUCUGACCGAGCAACGCCGCGUGAGUGAAGAAGGUUUUCGGAUCGUAAAACUCUGUUGUUAGAGAAGAACAAGGGUGAGAGUAACUGUUCACCCCUUGACGGUAUCUAACCAGAAAGCCACGGCUAACUACGUGCCAGCAGCCGCGGUAAUACGUAGGUGGCAAGCGUUGUCCGGAUUUAUUGGGCGUAAAGCGAGCGCAGGCGGUUUCUUAAGUCUGAUGUGAAAGCCCCCGGCUCAACCGGGGAGGGUCAUUGGAAACUGGGAGACUUGAGUGCAGAAGAGGAGAGUGGAAUUCCAUGUGUAGCGGUGAAAUGCGUAGAUAUAUGGAGGAACACCAGUGGCGAAGGCGGCUCUCUGGUCUGUAACUGACGCUGAGGCUCGAAAGCGUGGGGAGCAAACAGGAUUAGAUACCCCGGUAGU
Molecule: ribosomal RNA, 815 nt
Filed under: uncultured bacterium
Lineage: Bacteria
Description: bacterial SSU rRNA
Rfam family: Bacterial small subunit ribosomal RNA
Source: RNAcentral